RNAcentral lists this ribosomal RNA (253 nucleotides) under uncultured bacterium. RNAcentral describes it as "partial 16S ribosomal RNA". It matches the Rfam family "Bacterial small subunit ribosomal RNA", at positions 524 to 776 of the family's 1533-position model. The record is from RNAcentral.
UACGUAGGGUGCGAGCGUUGUCCGGAAUUAUUGGGCGUAAAGAGCUCGUAGGCGGUUUGUUGCAUCUAUCGUGAAAACCUGCAGCUUAACUGUGGGCCUGCAGUGGGUACGGGCAGACUAGAGUGCGGUAGGGGAGACUGGAAUUCCUGGUGUAGCGGUGAAAUGCGCAGAUAUCAGGAGGAACACCUGCGGCGAAGGCGGGUCUCUGGGCCGAUACUGACGCUGAGGAGCGAAAGCGUGGGGAGCGAACAGG